UACGUAGGGCGCAAGCGUUAUCCGGAAUUAUUGGGCGUAAAGAGCUCGUAGGCGGUCUGUCGCGUCGGCUGUGAAAACCCGAGGCUCAACCUCGGGCCUGCAGUCGAUACGGGCAGACUAGAGUGUGGCAGGGGAGACUGGAAUUCCUGGUGUAGCGGUGAAAUGCGCAGAUAUCAGGAGGAACACCGGUGGCGAAGGCGGGUCUCUGGGCCAUAACUGACGCUGAGGAGCGAAAGCGUGGGGAGCGAACAGG
RNAcentral lists this ribosomal RNA (253 nucleotides) under uncultured bacterium. RNAcentral describes it as "partial 16S ribosomal RNA". It matches the Rfam family "Bacterial small subunit ribosomal RNA", at positions 524 to 776 of the family's 1533-position model. The record is from RNAcentral.